RNAcentral lists this long non-coding RNA (844 nucleotides) under Felis catus (domestic cat). RNAcentral's name for it is "lncRNA (ENSFCAG00000047573.1)". Lineage: Eukaryota; Metazoa; Chordata; Mammalia; Carnivora; Felidae. The record is from RNAcentral.
AUGAACUGGGUUUUCUCCCGGAAGGGAGGAGAGGCUGAGCGGCAGCCUCACGGAGGCUCCCUGAGUGAAUUUCACUCUCAAGUGCUGUCACUUUCAGAGGACAGUUCCUGGCUGUAUCACGCCUUCCCCAGAAAUGAGCAGGAGGAAGACAGGGGCAGGCACCCAAACCAGGAAGUUGAAAGAAGUGACUGUUAUUUAAGAGGGACUUUCUCUGCCCUCCUCCACGCCGCUCUUUAUUCAGCAGGAACCCAAGGAUCCCCCUCCGGAGAAAGUGGAUUGUCGUGGGCUCGGCGUGCCAAGUUCGCUGCGGCCAAGGAACCCGGCACAAAGAUCCUUUAUGCCUCGCUGUGUGCUCUCCUUCCUGGCCCGCCUGCCCCGCGCACGGUUUUCCUCAGCCUUUCUUCACCAUUUCUUUUCCAGUUGACUUAGUUAUCACAGUACACGGAUGGCCGGGCCUGGCACCAGAGGCUGCGUGCGAGUGGGGGUCCCAGGCCCUAACGUGAUUUCCCCGGGGGAUGGGGGGGGGGGGUGGUCGGGCACUUGCCCACCAACAGGGCCGCGGACCCACCCACCGUCCUGGGCCUGCCUCCCGGUCACGGCUUCCCCGUCGCGGUCGGGGUCCCUGCCAGCCAGUGAUGUCUUCGGGGCAUCACUGAAGAGCACGGAGUAUGGAGUGGGGGGUGAGGGAGGCCCUCGGUGCUCGGCUCCAGACGAGGUGUGAAGUUGACUGACGCGCUUAAAAAAGAAAAGCGCCCCAAUUAAAGGCGAAGGAUGGGCGUUGAGGGGUUCAGGGACUCGGGGCGCUUUGUCUGUGGACAAAAUCUGGGUGCAGCUGGCCGUGCCU